This 1020-nucleotide ribosomal RNA is filed under the name Halorubrum sp. GoM1. RNAcentral's name for it is "bacterial SSU rRNA". It matches the Rfam family "Archaeal small subunit ribosomal RNA", at positions 52 to 1072 of the family's 1478-position model. The record is from RNAcentral. Lineage: Archaea; Methanobacteriati; Methanobacteriota; Halobacteria; Halobacteriales; Haloferacaceae.
UGCUAGUCGCACGAGUUCAGACUCGUGGCGAAUAGCUCAGUAACACGUGGCCAAACUACCCUUCGGAACACAAUACCCUCGGGAAACUGAGGCUAAUAGUGUAUCCCAUACCACCACUGGAAUGAGUGGUAUGUCAAACGCUCCGGCGCCGAAGGAUGUGGCUGCGGCCGAUUAGGUAGACGGUGGGGUAACGGCCCACCGUGCCAAUAAUCGGUACGGGUCAUGAGAGUGAGAACCCGGAGACGGAAUCUGAGACAAGAUUCCGGGCCCUACGGGGCGCAGCAGGCGCGAAACCUUUACACUGCACGACAGUGCGAUAGGGGGAUCCCAAGUGCACAGGCAUAGCGCCUGUGCUUUUCGGUACCGUAAGGUGGUACCAGAAUAAGGGCUGGGCAAGACCGGUGCCAGCCGCCGCGGUAAUACCGGCAGCCCAAGUGAUGGCCGAUCUUAUUGGGCCUAAAGCGUCCGUAGCUGGCCGCGCAAGUCCAUCGGGAAAUCCACCUGCUCAACAGGUGGGCGCCCGGUAGAAACUGCGUGGCUUGGGACCGGAAGGCGCGACGGGUACGUCCGGGGUAGGAGUGAAAUCCCGUAAUCCUGGACGGACCGCCGAUGGCGAAAGCACGUCGCGAGAACGGAUCCGACAGUGAGGGACGAAAGCCAGGGUCUCGAACCGGAUUAGAUACCCGGGUAGUCCUGGCCGUAAACAAUGUCUGCUAGGUGUGGCUCCCACUACGAGUGGGUGCUGUGCCGUAGGGAAGCCGCUAAGCAGACCGCCUGGGAAGUACGUCCGCAAGGAUGAAACUUAAAGGAAUUGGCGGGGGAGCACUACAACCGGAGGAGCCUGCGGUUUAAUUGGACUCAACGCCGGACAUCUCACCAGCAUCGACUGUGAUAAUGACGACCAGGUUGAUGACCUUGUCCGAGUUUCAGAGAGGAGGUGCAUGGCCGCCGUCAGCUCGUACCGUGAGGCGUCCUGUUAAGUCAGGCAACGAGCGAGACCCGCACCCUUACUUGCCAGCA